GGGACUGACCCUCUGCUUUGCUCCCCAGGUACUGAAGGACCUGCCGAGGGUGGAGGGGCGGCCUGGAGCCUCCCUCCCUCCCCUGGAUCUGCAGGCACUGGAGAAGGAGCUGGUAGACCGGCAUGGGGAGGAGGUGACGCCGGAAGAUGUGCUCUCAGCAGCUAUGUACCCCGAUGUGUUUGCCCACUUCAAGGACUUCACUGCCACCUUUGGCCCCCUGGAUAGCCUGAAUACUCGCCUCUUCCUGCAGGGACCCAAGAUCGCAGAGGAGUUUGAGGUGGAGCUGGAGCGGGGCAAGACGCUGCACAUCAAAGCCCUGGCCGUGAGCGACCUGAACCGGGCCGGCCAGAGGCAGGUCUUCUUUGAGCUCAAUGGGCAGCUGCGGUCCAUCUUGGUCAAGGACACCCAGGCCAUGAAGGAGAUGCACUUCCACCCCAAGGCCCUAAAGGACGUGAAGGGCCAGAUCGGGGCGCCCAUGCCUGGGAAGGUGAUAGACAUCAAAGUGGUGGCAGGGGCCAAGGUGGCCAAGGGCCAGCCCCUGUGUGUGCUCAGUGCCAUGAAGAUGGAGACUGUGGUGACCUCACCCAUGGAGGGUACUGUCCGCAAGGUUCAUGUGACCAAGGACAUGACACUGGAAGGUGACGACCUCAUCCUGGAGAUCGAGUGAUCUUGCCCCAGACCGGCAGCCUGGCCAUCCCCAAGCCUUCAACAGAAGCUGUGCUGCCACGGCAGGCCCAGGCCAGCCAGUGCCCGAGGCCAGGAAGGCCGGGCCGUGGAGGUCCUGUCCACAGCUGGACAGGAGAGACACCGCCUGCGGCGGUUCAUUCCUUUCAGCCAUCGUCCUUUCCUCCGGCGGACAGCUGCUUACAUGUUCAUCUCUUGCCAAAUAAGGGUCCCCUCCUCACUGGAGACUACAAGUGGUGGGUCAGGUGGUCCUAGGACCCAGGGGAGGUUUAGGGGUCCUAUCUCCUGGGGGAAGGGGAGAUCUAAGAUGUCCCAGGUCCUGGG
RNAcentral lists this small RNA (1008 nucleotides) under Pan troglodytes (chimpanzee). Its description in RNAcentral is "processed transcript". The record is from RNAcentral. Lineage: Eukaryota; Metazoa; Chordata; Mammalia; Primates; Hominidae.